CUACGUAGCUCAGAGUUUGAUCCUGGCUCAGGAUGAACGCUAGCGGCAGGCUUAACACAUGCAAGUCGAGGGGCAGCAUGAGACGGAGAUUCGUCGAAGUCUUGAUGGCGACCGGCGCAAGGGUGCGUAACGCGUGAGCAACUUGCCCGUUUCAGGGGGAUAACCGUUGGAAACGACGACUAAUACCCCAUGGUAUAUAAUUGAGGCAUCUCAACUAUAUUAAAGAAUUUCGGAAACGGAUAGGCUCGCGUGACAUUAGCUAGAUGGUGAGGUAACGGCUCACCAUGGCGACGAUGUCUAGGGGUUCUGAGAGGAAGGUCCCCCACACUGGAACUGAGACACGGUCCAG
This 349-nucleotide ribosomal RNA is filed under the name uncultured bacterium. RNAcentral describes it as "bacterial SSU rRNA". It matches the Rfam family "Bacterial small subunit ribosomal RNA", at positions 1 to 334 of the family's 1533-position model. The record is from RNAcentral.